This is a long non-coding RNA of Passer domesticus (house sparrow), 465 nucleotides long. RefSeq lists it as uncharacterized. The record is from RefSeq and is a predicted model, not a curated record. NCBI's taxonomy places the organism in Eukaryota, Metazoa, Chordata, Aves, Passeriformes, Passeridae. The transcript is spliced from 4 exons.
CUGUGCUCUCUGUGCAUGUUCCUCACAAACAGAGGAAGAUUUGUCCUCAUCAGGGUCUUCUUUAGCACUGUUUCCUCCUGUCUAAGUGAUUGCAUCCUUCUGAGAAUCUUAAAGUUCACUGAAACAACAGGAUGAUUAAUUCAAGAGGCAUAUAUAUAUUUUGUUGCUAUUGAUGUUUUCCCUACCUGCUCAAAGCAUUGUCAAGACAGAAUUUGACAGCAUGAGUGCACGAAGUCCAACUCAUCUGGGAAUGUUCAGAUUUACACAUAAACCCUGCAAGGAAUAAAUGUGGCCCAGUUGAACUUGCAGAUAUCUGACAGAAUAAAAGACAUCUCUGAGUUACAAAACUCUUUCACAUGAGGAUCAAUAUUCCUUUUAUGCCCACAGAAUGUGUUUUAGAUUUAACAAGUCAUUCUCAUCAGCAAAAUCACAUUCGAUUUCAGGGAGUUCAAGAAUAAACCUUAU